Molecule: long non-coding RNA, 599 nt
Organism: Oreochromis aureus
Lineage: Eukaryota; Metazoa; Chordata; Actinopteri; Cichliformes; Cichlidae
Source: Ensembl
GUAAGGAGCCAACAAUAUCGGAUCUGAUUUCUCCUCUUCGUUCACACAUGGGCCAGCAGGCGGUCAGAGGCUAAACAGGAGGAUGCAAGGCAGGAGCAACGUUUUAAAGUGCUUCAACACCAGUUUCAGCUGUUACAGGUAGAAACACAAGUCCGCACUUCUCCAGUGCCUGAACGUCCGGCAGCUGAACCUCCUGAUCCAGAGUCUAGAUGAUGACCCUCCGCAAGCUGGUCCCAGUAUGUCAGUUGCUGGCUCAUCUGGUGUGGAUAAAAGAGAAUAAUCCAACUUCUGCUGCAGAGGCUGCAAACCUGGCUGAUGUGUUUGUGGCUGCACAGAGAAAGGGGAUAAGCUUGGAGUUUCACGACUCGCAAAACAAAGACCAGCUGCACGUGCACACAGUCCAAGUAACUAGGGCUCAAGCUAUGAAGCCAGCAGAUCCCCCUCAGACCCUUACUUCUCUGCCAUUUUGAGGCAGAAUUAGGGACAGCACCUGGGAAGUUGCACAAUUCCCACGUCCAGAAAAGGUGAGAGAAAUUUCAUUUUCAUUCAAACUACCUCCCGUCUUUGAGCCUGAAAUAUCUUUGGACUUUAAAGUCCCA